GCAGCCUCGUGAGAGUGAGCAAAGCACAAAAAUACCGUCCCAGUUCGGAUUGUAGUCUGCAACCCGACUACAUGAAGCUGGAAUCGCUAGUAAUCGCAAAUCAGAAUGUUGCGGUGAAUACGUUCCCGGGUCUUGUACACACCGCCCGUCACACCAUGGGAGCCGGUAAUACCCGAAGCCUGUGAGCUAACAUUAAGAGGCAGCAGUCGAAGGUAGAAUCAAUGAUUGGGGUGAAGUCGUAACAAGGUAAC
This 251-nucleotide ribosomal RNA is filed under the name uncultured bacterium. RNAcentral's name for it is "partial 16S ribosomal RNA". It matches the Rfam family "Bacterial small subunit ribosomal RNA", at positions 1249 to 1500 of the family's 1533-position model. The record is from RNAcentral.